GAUGAAGAACGUAGCGAAAUGCGAUAAGUAAUGCGAAUUGCAGAAUCCGUGAGUCAUCGAAUCUUUGAACGCACAUUGCGCCCUUUGGUAUUCCGAAGGGCAUGCCUGUUCGAGCGUCAUUAUCACCCCUCAAGCCCCGGCUUGGUGUUGGGCUCUCGGUGGUCGUCUCCGACCACCCGUCUCAAAGAUAGUGACGGCGUCCCAGAGGGAACCGGUACGAGGAGCUUUCACGAGCAUGUACGCGGGACGACUCUGCGGGCGACGGUCUUAUUUACUUUAUAUACAAGUGUUGAACUCGGAUCAGGUAGGAAUACCCGCUGAACUUAAGCAUAUCAAUAAGCGGAGGA
Molecule: unclassified non-coding RNA, 347 nt
Filed under: soil metagenome
Description: partial contains 5.8S ribosomal RNA, internal transcribed spacer 2, and large subunit ribosomal RNA
Rfam family: 5.8S ribosomal RNA (bases 1-119)
Source: RNAcentral